GAUUGUGCGACAAACUCCGUCCAGAGGGUGGCCCCAUUCUUAGAACUCAUCACUGGGCAAAGUUUGUCGCACAAG
RNAcentral lists this microRNA precursor (75 nucleotides) under Anopheles stephensi (Asian malaria mosquito). Its description in RNAcentral is "microRNA mir-3". It matches the Rfam family "mir-3 microRNA precursor family". The record is from RNAcentral. Lineage: Eukaryota; Metazoa; Arthropoda; Insecta; Diptera; Culicidae.